ACUCAAAUGAAUUGACGGGGACCCGCACAAGCAGCGGAGCGUGUGGUUUAAUUCGAUGUAACGCGAAGAACCUUACCUGGGCUUGACAUGGCAUCGCAACCUCUUGAAAGAGAGGCCUCCUUCGGGACGGUGUCACAGAUGUUGCAUGGCUGUCGUCAGCUCGUGUCGUGAGAUGUUGGGUUAAGUCCCGCAACGAGCGCAACCCUUGUUUCUAGUUGCAUAUCUAGAGAGACUGCCGCAGAUAAAGCGGAGGAAGGUGGGGAUGACGUCAAGUCAGCAUGACUCUUACGUCCAGGGCUACACACACGCUACAAUGGACAGUACAAAGAGAAGCCAACCCGCGAGGGUGAGCAGACCUCCAAAAGCUGUCCUCAGUUCAGAUUGCACUCUGCAACUCGAGUGCAUGAAGUCGGAGUUGCUAGUAACCGCGUGUCAGCAUAGCGCGGUGAAUAUGUUCCCGGGUCUUGUACACACCGCCCGU
This 481-nucleotide ribosomal RNA is filed under the name uncultured bacterium. Its description in RNAcentral is "partial 16S ribosomal RNA". It matches the Rfam family "Bacterial small subunit ribosomal RNA", at positions 899 to 1397 of the family's 1533-position model. The record is from RNAcentral.